AUUAGAGCGGCCGAUGUCGGAUUAGCUAGUUGGUGGGGUAAAGGCUUAAGGCGACGAUCCGUAGCGGGUCUGAGAGGAUGAUCCGCCACACUGGGACUGAGACACGGCCCAGACUCCUACGGGAGGCAGCAGUGGGGAAUUUUGGACAAUGGGCGAAAGCCUGAUCCAGCCAUGCCGCGUGAGUGAAGAAGGCCUCGGUUGUAAAGCUCUUUCUAGCCGGAAAGAAAUACGCGCAGGCUAAUACUCUGCGUGGAUGACGGUACCGGAAGAAGAAGCACCGGCUAACUACGUGCCAGCAGCCGCGGUAAUACGUAGGGUGCGAGCGUUAAUCGGAAUUACUGGGCGUAAAGCGUGCGCAGGCGGCAGUUCAAGUCUGCUGUCAAAGA
This 386-nucleotide ribosomal RNA is filed under the name uncultured beta proteobacterium. RNAcentral's name for it is "bacterial SSU rRNA". It matches the Rfam family "Bacterial small subunit ribosomal RNA", at positions 220 to 601 of the family's 1533-position model. Lineage: Bacteria; Pseudomonadati; Pseudomonadota; Betaproteobacteria. The record is from RNAcentral.